This 73-nucleotide transfer RNA is filed under the name Candidatus Daviesbacteria bacterium. RNAcentral's name for it is "tRNA-Val". It matches the Rfam family "tRNA". From Rfam's summary of the family: Transfer RNA (tRNA) molecules are approximately 80 nucleotides in length. Their secondary structure includes four short double-helical elements and three loops (D, anti-codon, and T loops). The record is from RNAcentral. Lineage: Bacteria; Candidatus Daviesiibacteriota.
GGACGGUUAGCUCAGUUGGUAGAGCGCUUCAUUUACACUGAAGAUGUCGGGGGUUCAAGUCCCUCACCGUCCA